GACGAACGCUGGCGGCGUGCUUAACACAUGCAAGUCGAACGGAAAGGCCCUGCUUGCAGGGUACUCGAGUGGCGAACGGGUGAGUAACACGUGGGUGAUCUGCCCUGCACUUCGGGAUAAGCCUGGGAAACUGGGUCUAAUACCGGAUAGGAGCCAUUUUUAGUGUGAUGGUUGGAAAGUUUUUUUCGGUGUAGGAUGAGCUCGCGGCCUAUCAGCUUGUUGUUGGGGUAAUGGCCUACCAAGGCGGCGACGGGUAGCCGGCCUGAGAGGGUGGACGGCCACAUUGGGACUGAGAUACGGCCCAGACUCCUACGGGAGGCAGCAGUGGGGAAUAUUGCACAAUGGGCGCAAGCCUGAUGCAGCGACGCCGCGUGGGGGAUGACGGCCUUCGGGUUGUAAACUCCUUUCGCUAGGGACGAAGCUUUUUGUGACGGUACCUAGAUAAGAAGCACCGGCUAACUACGUG
Molecule: ribosomal RNA, 466 nt
Filed under: uncultured bacterium
Lineage: Bacteria
Description: partial 16S ribosomal RNA
Rfam family: Bacterial small subunit ribosomal RNA
Source: RNAcentral